Paramuricea clavata is the source of this 132-nucleotide non-coding RNA. Lineage: Eukaryota; Metazoa; Cnidaria; Anthozoa; Malacalcyonacea; Plexauridae. The record is from the annotation of a GenBank genome assembly.
AAGUGAUAUUUCGGAACAGUAUCUAGUUCCUUCUAUACCAAUGUGUUCUUACUAAUAUGAAUAUUAUUAAUAUUCAUAUUAGUAAGAACACAUUGGUAUAGAAGGAACUAGAUACUGUUCCGAAAUAUCACU